UGAGUAAUACGUGAGAAUCUGCCCUUAGGAAAAGAAUAACUUCUGGAAACGGUUGCUAAAUCUUUAUAUGUCGAGAGAUGAAAUAGCUUAGGCUGCCUAAGGAUGAGCUCACGCCUGAUUAGCUUGUUGGUGAGGUAAUGGCUCACUAAGGCCACGAUCAGUAGCUGGUUUGAGAGAACGACCAGCCACACUGGGACUGAGACACGGCCCAGACUCCUCCGGGAGGCAGCAGUGAGGAAUUUUCCGCAAUGGGCGAAAGCCUGACGGAGCAAUACCGCGUGAGGGAUGAAGGAUUUUGGUCUGUAAACCUCUUUUCUCAAGAAAGAAGUUCUGACGGUACUUGAGGAAUAAGCAUCGGCUAACUCCGUGCCAGCAGCCGCGGUAAUACGGGGGAUGCAAGCGUUAUCCGGAAUGAUUGGGCGUAAAGCGCCUGUAGGUUGUUUAUUAAGUCCGUUGUUAAAGCCUAGGGCUUAACCCUAGAAAAGCAAUGGAAACUAGUAGACUAGAGUAUGGCAGGGGUAGAGGGAAUUUCUAGUGUAGCGGUGAAAUGCGUAGAUAUUAGAAAGAACACCGGUGGCGAAAGCGCUCUACUGGACCAUUACUGACACUCGGAGGCGAAAGCUAGGGUAGCAAAAGGGAUUAGAUACCCCUGUAGUCCUAGCCGUAAACGAUGGAUACUAGAUGUUGUGCAUUAUGUACAGUAUCGUAGCUAACGCGUUAAGUAUCCCGCCUGGGGAGUACGCUCGCAAGGGUGAAACUCAAAGGAAUUGACGG
This 774-nucleotide ribosomal RNA is filed under the name uncultured cyanobacterium. RNAcentral's name for it is "bacterial SSU rRNA". It matches the Rfam family "Bacterial small subunit ribosomal RNA", at positions 107 to 916 of the family's 1533-position model. Lineage: Bacteria; Bacillati; Cyanobacteriota. The record is from RNAcentral.